This is a long non-coding RNA of Cucurbita moschata (crookneck pumpkin), 95 nucleotides long. RefSeq lists it as uncharacterized. NCBI's taxonomy places the organism in Eukaryota, Viridiplantae, Streptophyta, Magnoliopsida, Cucurbitales, Cucurbitaceae. The record is from RefSeq and is a predicted model, not a curated record. The transcript is spliced from 3 exons.
UGGUAUCAAAGCAGAGUACAUAGACGAUCGGAAAAGUACAUCGGGCUAUGUAUUCUUCAUGGACAACAUAGCUUUUACUUGACUUUCAAAAAAAC